AAACCCUAGAUUUCCAUUUGUUCAUCCUUCUUCUCCUUCAAGCUCUGUAAUCCAUCAACCUCUGCAAUCGAAUCGAUUCAACCAUCAGAUUUAAAGCAGAAUAAUGUGGGACAGAAAGAAAGAAGAAACCGGGGAGUCUUAGGUAAUAUCGGCAAUCUUGCUCCAACCAUUGUUGUCGAAACUGGAAAACCGACUCAUAUAUGUCGCCCCAUCACAAGAAAUUAUUGUGCCCAAUUGGCUGCAAAUGCACAAGGAGCAGCAGGCAAGAAUGUUAAGGUAGCAAAGGAUGAAGGGUUUGAGCUGCCAUACAGUUAUGAAGAAGCUUCUCAAAGAACCUAAAUUCUCAUUCUACCCUUUGACUAUUAAUUCCAUGCUCUGGCGUUGGAAGCCAUGUUCCAGCUUAGCAGUGAUACGAUCUUAGAUCUACAGGCGACUGAAUAGGCUAAUAAUGUGAUGCUAAAGGCCUAGAAGAAACACGAACUCGGUUUUUCCGUUCCCAAAUAAUCACGAGGAAAGAAAAACCGUAUUCGAAAGAAAGUGUCGAAGACGGGAGGAUAUCCAAACAAUCUGCAAUUUUUACGGAACCAAUUGUGCGACCAAAGAUGUUCGACGGCGUGUUACUUUGCGUUGAAGGCUAUAGCUGGUAUGUGUCGUUCAAUGACAUGUCUGACGUAGGUAAGGGUCGCGGUAAAAAAGGUGUAAACAAGGAUGUGGUGGAGUUGCGAAUGCUCUUGACGCUUUGUGCACAAGCCGUUGCGG
RNAcentral lists this long non-coding RNA (759 nucleotides) under Helianthus annuus (common sunflower). The record is from RNAcentral. Lineage: Eukaryota; Viridiplantae; Streptophyta; Magnoliopsida; Asterales; Asteraceae.